CAACCCUCAAGCCCCCUGUGGACUUGGUGUUGGGGACCGGCGGCUGACCUUCCAGCCGCCGCCCCCGAAAUGAAUUGGCGGCCUCGUCGCGGCCCUCCUCUGCGUAGUAGCACACACCUCGCAACAGGAGCCCGGCGACGGCCACUGCCGUAAAACGCCCAAACUUUUUUAGAG
Molecule: unclassified non-coding RNA, 174 nt
Filed under: uncultured Paecilomyces
Lineage: Eukaryota; Fungi; Ascomycota; Eurotiomycetes; Eurotiales; Thermoascaceae
Description: sequence contains ITS2
Source: RNAcentral